RNAcentral lists this ribosomal RNA (628 nucleotides) under Clostridioides difficile. Its description in RNAcentral is "bacterial LSU rRNA". It matches the Rfam family "Bacterial large subunit ribosomal RNA", at positions 224 to 856 of the family's 2925-position model. The record is from RNAcentral. Lineage: Bacteria; Bacillati; Bacillota; Clostridia; Peptostreptococcales; Peptostreptococcaceae.
AGAAAUUCGAUUCCGUAAGUAGCGGCGAGCGAACGCGGAUUAGCCCAAACCAAUAAAGUUUUCUUUAUUGGGGUUGCGGACAUAUCAUAACGAAGAGGUAUCGUAAUUGAAGAGGUUUGGAAAGACCCACCACAGAAGGUAAUAGUCCUGUAUGUUAAACGAGAAGACUUCAGAUAUGAUCCAGAGUACCACGGGACACGUGAAACCCUGUGGGAAGCAGGAGGGACCACCCUCCAAGGCUAAAUACUACCUAGUGACCGAUAGCGUAUAGUACCGUGAGGGAAAGGUGAAAAGAACCCCGGGAGGGGAGUGAAAUAGAACCUGAAACCCUGCACUUACAAGCUGUGGAAGCACAUUUCUUGUGUGACCGCGUACUUUUUGUAGAACGGGCCAACGAGUUACGUUAAGUAGCAAGGUUAAGCACUUAAGGUGCGGAGCCGUAGCGAAAGCGAGUUUUAACUGAGCGUUCAGUUACUUGACGUAGACCCGAAACCGGGCGAUCUACCCAUGAGCAGGAUGAAGCGAAAGUAAAAUUUCGUGGAGGUCCGAACCCACGAGCGUUGAAAAGCUCGGGGAUGACUUGUGGGUAGCGGUGAAAUUCCAAUCGAGCCCGGAGAUAGCUGGUUCU